UGGUAUCUGUGAUUUGCGAAU
Molecule: non-coding RNA, 21 nt
Filed under: Caenorhabditis elegans
Lineage: Eukaryota; Metazoa; Nematoda; Chromadorea; Rhabditida; Rhabditidae
Source: RNAcentral